AAGUCGAACGGUAACAGGUCUUCGGACGCUGACGAGUGGCGAACGGGUGAGUAAUACAUCGGAACGUGCCCAGUCGUGGGGGAUAACUACUCGAAAGAGUAGCUAAUACCGCAUACGAUCUGAGGAUGAAAGCGGGGGACCUUCGGGCCUCGCGCGAUUGGAGCGGCCGAUGGCAGAUUAGGUAGUUGGUGGGAUAAAAGCUUACCAAGCCGACGAUCUGUAGCUGGUCUGAGAGGACGACCAGCCACACUGGGACUGAGACACGGCCCAGACUCCUACGGGAGGCAGCAGUGGGGAAUUUUGGACAAUGGGCGAAAGCCUGAUCCAGCAAUGCCGCGUGCAGGAUGAAGGCCUUCGGGUUGUAAACUGCUUUUGUACGGAACGAAAAAGCUUCUCCUAAUACGAGAGGCCCAUGACGGUACCGUAAGAAUAAGCACCGGCUAACUACGUGCCAGCAGCCGCGGUAAUACGUAGGGUCGCGAGCGUUAAUCGG
This 493-nucleotide ribosomal RNA is filed under the name Delftia acidovorans. RNAcentral's name for it is "bacterial SSU rRNA". It matches the Rfam family "Bacterial small subunit ribosomal RNA", at positions 59 to 548 of the family's 1533-position model. The record is from RNAcentral. Lineage: Bacteria; Pseudomonadati; Pseudomonadota; Betaproteobacteria; Burkholderiales; Comamonadaceae.